CCUACGGGAGGCAGCAGUGGGGAAUAUUGCACAAUGGGCGAAAGCCUGAUGCAGCAACGCCGCGUGAGCGAUGAAGGCCUUCGGGUCGUAAAGCUCUGUCCUCAAGGAAGAUAAUGACGGUACUUGAGGAGGAAGCCCCGGCUAACUACGUGCCAGCAGCCGCGGUAAUAGGUAGGGGGCUAGCGUUAUCCGGAAUUACUGGGCGUAAAGGGUGCGUAGGUGGUUUUUUAAGUCAGAGGUGAAAGGGUACGGCUCAACCGUAGUAAGCCUUUGAAACUGGGGAACUUGAGUGCAGGAGAGGAGGGUGGAAUUCCUAGUGUAGCGGUGAAAUGCGUAGAUAUUAGGAGGAACACCAGUUGCGAAGGCGGCUCUCUGGACUGUAACUGACACUGAGGCACGAAAGCGUGGGGAGCAAACAGGAUUAGAUACCCGGGUAGUC
Molecule: ribosomal RNA, 439 nt
Filed under: uncultured bacterium
Lineage: Bacteria
Description: partial 16S ribosomal RNA
Rfam family: Bacterial small subunit ribosomal RNA
Source: RNAcentral